Molecule: long non-coding RNA, 203 nt
Organism: Hipposideros armiger (great roundleaf bat)
Lineage: Eukaryota; Metazoa; Chordata; Mammalia; Chiroptera; Hipposideridae
Exons: 2
Source: RefSeq, a predicted model, not a curated record
CUGGGUCUGAUCUGAGACCAGCUAAGUGGCUUGAACUGAACACGAGGCUGCAAGUUGACACCCGGCCGGAGGCUGAGAUCAUGCAGGGGCACGAACCGUUUCCCGUGGGGCCGUAGGAAGCGGUGUGGGGUUUACCUGUUCCGAGGUGAAGCGGCGGCAGGCCGAGCGGUGCCACCCCCAGCCCGGCGCGGACGGCCAGGACG